Oryctolagus cuniculus (rabbit) is the source of this 1709-nucleotide non-coding RNA. The record is from RefSeq and is a predicted model, not a curated record. Lineage: Eukaryota; Metazoa; Chordata; Mammalia; Lagomorpha; Leporidae.
CUCUCACUAGCCCAACAGGAGGAGCACAGAGGACAAGACCAGCCACUACCAGGCCCCAAGAAAGAACGCAACUCCUCUGGCAGAAUACACACCACCCAAGAGCCUACUGGAUAUUCUGCUCCUGCACAGUCUUCCUGAUCAUCCUUGUUAAAUUAGACUGUAGAAUUAUUCCACCAGGAUGAAUCAUGAUGGCUGGUUAAAUUCCUCCCCUACAGUUCGAUGAGGAGCGCGUUCCUCCCCCAGCGCUGGCCCCGUGGAAAGGGCCCGGAGAGCAUUUAGACACCUGCAGACCCACAGUGGCGGUGACACGGGCAGAGCCACAGGAGACAGGGCCACGUGUGCGUCAGCUCUGCAUGCUAACCAGUGACUCAGCCACCCAGGGGCACCGCUGCCGUGCGCACAGCACCAACCCACCCAACGUCUUCGCCCAUCUCAGCAUCCGGGGACCUCCUGAGAAAUCUCCUGUAGGUUCUUAGGGCCCCUGAGCCCUCACUCCCUGUCUGAGGCCAGGUAAUUGGCAGAGCUGAGAACUCAGAUGGCCAACAACCGUGCAUGCUCAGUCCCGGAGGCGCCACACUCUGGGCUGGGGAGGUCAAGAGUCCAGCAAGGCAGGAAGGGGCUUCUCCCUGUCCUGCCCUAGAGGCCGAGAUGGGGAGUGGACGAGAGCGGCUACCUGCGCCAUGGAGGACUCGGUGAGAGGUGCAGAUGAGGAAGUGAGAACAGGGCGCAGAGCCGGCAGCCUCAGGUCCUCCGCUGCGACUUCUCCCACUUCCCUUCUGCUGCGAGCUCUUCAGAGGCGCCUCGCGCAGGCAGGAACCUGGGCAAGUGGCCAGGAGCCAGAGCCGAGCAAAACGGCCUCAGACCCCCAUGCACCUGCUGACCGCUUCCCCGCACACGCUCCUCCAGCGUGGCGUGUCCUGGCGCACAGCUGCACGAUUUCCUCCCCAAAGUGCAAAUGCCGGGCGGGGUGGGCGCCAGGCCUGGCCAGGGCAGGCUGCCUGCAUCCCACCUGGAGCAGCCGGGUCCGGGCACACCGCCGCACCUGGCCGACACCACGGCAGACCCGAAACCGCUUCUAGAAGACAGCUUUGGCCUCUGCAAAGGGGCGGGGGCCCAGCUCGCGUUUUCACAGCAAAACUGCAGCUUCGCCCCACACAUGCCCAGCACCCGCAGUGACCAGUGCUCUUCAUAGUAAGCCAAGGCCCGAGGCAACCUGGGAGCCGCGAGCCGCCAGUCCACACAGCCUGCUCACCAGGGCCUGUCGAAGCCGGGCAGUGCCGGAGGCUGCAGGUCAGGCUACAGACCGUCUCCAAGGACUGGGCUCUCUCUGAGACCUCCAGAAAGAGAAAGGCUGGAUUUCGUUCCUCCAGCACCCCACUGAACGCCCUCGUACAAGUGUGGUGUAACACCCAGCCUCCGGCUUUCACACGCGUUAAGAACCGAGUAGACAAGAAAGGUCUGUGUGUUCUGUGAAACCAGCACCGGCAGCACCAUGCAGCACACUGCUCCUCCUACGUGGCAAAGCCCUCAGUGUUCAGUGCUGACAAAAAGCAUCUCUUUCCCGUGAGCUAGUUUACUUCUUUUUACCGGGACAAAAACACUGUGCUGUUUCCAAUUUCCCUUUUUGCCUUGGUGGCCAGGAAGCUCAGAACAAGGGUCAGCGCUGACUUACAAAAACUAACCUCUUCUGCAACACAAAUGAUGCAGGA